AGUCACUGGGAACGAUACAAUAAACCUACUGGCGCAGUGAAAGCGGGGCCGCGCCUCCCUCGCGGGGGCUCGGCUCUGGGAGGAUGGCGGCGCACUUGCGGUGCCGCCCGCACUCCCGGGGCGCGUAGUACACCCGUAUUACGCGCACCCCGAGCGUACACGUUGGGACCCGAAAGAUGGUGAACUAUGCCUGGUCAGGACGAAGUCAGGGGAAACCCUGAUGGAGGUCCGCAGCGAUUCUGACGUGCAAAUCGAUCGUCAGAGCUGGGUAUAGGGGCGAAAGACUAAUCGAACCAUCUAGUAGCUGGUUCCCUCCGAAGUUUCCCUCAGGAUAGCUGGCGCCCAUUUUGACAAAUACGAGUCUCAUCCGGUAAAGCGAAUGAUUAGAGGCCUUGGGGCCGAAACGACCUCAACCUAUUCUCAAACUUUAAAUGGGUGAGAACUCCGGCUUGCUUGAUUGAAGCCGCGAGAGUUUUGGAUCAGGGUGCCAAGUGGGCCAUUUUUGGUAAGCAGAACUGGCGCUGUGGGAUGAA
Molecule: ribosomal RNA, 533 nt
Filed under: Tryonicus parvus
Lineage: Eukaryota; Metazoa; Arthropoda; Insecta; Blattodea; Tryonicidae
Description: eukaryotic LSU rRNA
Rfam family: Eukaryotic large subunit ribosomal RNA
Source: RNAcentral